RNAcentral lists this unclassified non-coding RNA (288 nucleotides) under Hevea brasiliensis (rubber tree). Lineage: Eukaryota; Viridiplantae; Streptophyta; Magnoliopsida; Malpighiales; Euphorbiaceae. The record is from RNAcentral.
AGAUAAUGAGAGAGGAUUGAAAAGAGGUAUGUGGAGAGGGAUUUACAAAGCAUGAGUGUUAAAAAUAGAAAUAUCGGCUAUUUGGAAUCCUAAGUGUGGUAAUUUGAUGAGAUUCUAGCAACCUUUUAUCAUCGUGACUCUAAUUCCAACAACUCCAAAGUGCAUCAACAUUGGAUUCUAGCAUAUCGACAAAUUCCGAGUCGAGUGGUAUUGUCUUUUGCCAACGGAAGUACUCGUUGGAGGUGGAAAUAAAGAAGGAACGCCUUCUAGAGCCUUGUGCCUGGAACA